UUAUUUGACUCAACGCGGGAAAUCUUACCGGGUCCGGACACACUGAGGAUUGACAGGCAAUAUCUCAUGUUUAAUAACCGUUAUUAACGUAUCGCGUUAUUUAAUACAUCGAGUGUUAAAUAUGCUAGUCCUUUCAUGAUUAUGUGAUAGGUGGUGCAUGGCCGUUCUUAGUUCGUGGAGUGAUCUGUCUGCUUAAUUGCGUUUCACUAAGGGCCCAUAAAUUCAAGGUAUGUUAGCUAUCUGUCGCUCUAUGGACCCCUUAACCGAGUUAAAUCGAGUUAAGCGCGCGUCUUUAUUUAAAGAGUUUAAGACAUUGCGCAUGCUGUUGGGCUCUGAAAGCAACGAACGUGACCGCAACGUCUUGUUGCCUUAAUAAAG
Molecule: ribosomal RNA, 378 nt
Filed under: Neogloboquadrina pachyderma
Lineage: Eukaryota; Foraminifera; Rotaliida; Globorotaliidae
Description: SSU rRNA
Rfam family: Eukaryotic small subunit ribosomal RNA
Source: RNAcentral